GUGAAGCAGCAGUGGUGCGCUGAUGCGCGAGCGCAACCCUCCCAUAGAAACAAACUUCAUGCGCUUGGUUUUCUUCACUACAUUCAUAGACACGAGAGGAAAGUGAAAUAUUAUUGGCCAGUGUUGUGAAGUUGUCCUUGAGAAUUUGAUUGAGAUAUGGAAUUAACGCUGAGAGAGUAUUAGUUCUUACUUCUGGGAUAAUUUUUUUUUUCGUCAUCAACGCAAAACAGCGCUGCUUACCACAGCUGAUAGAUGAAGUGAUACAGGUAUUUGAAUCUGUAUGAAAACCCAUCAUGCUACUGAAGAUUCUUCCUCUGUUGGAAGUCAUUGUUUUGCAGUACUGUCCCUAUUCAAUCACACUAGUGCAGCAGAAAUCCACGUCCGUGCAAAGAAAG
Cyprinus carpio (common carp) is the source of this 395-nucleotide long non-coding RNA. RefSeq lists it as uncharacterized. Lineage: Eukaryota; Metazoa; Chordata; Actinopteri; Cypriniformes; Cyprinidae. The transcript has 3 exons. The record is from RefSeq and is a predicted model, not a curated record.